GCAUGUGAGUGGUGAUGGAUUUGUAUGCCGCGGUGGGCUCCCUGCUUUUGUGCAGUUGACCACCGAUGCCGCAAGUCUCUUCAAUGGCACUCUGUUUGAAUGGAGAUGCGUGUGUUGCCUGUACAAUCUACCUAGUUCCUUUGGAAAUAGACAUUGUUUACCUCGCUUAUCCACUUCUCAUGUCCUAUGUGAAUGAGGAGUGUCCAUGUCCGUGCACCUUGUGUGUCCUCGAACGAUUGCAUGUCUCAGACCUCUCGUUUCGAGUGGCUCCAGUGUUCACGUGAGUGCUCUUGGAUGCAGUGGAUAUGAAUGUACCAUGGGUCUUCGGACUCUUGGCACAUGAUCGGUUGGCUUUCUUAGUCGCCCUUUGACGGAUGACGGCCUUCCCAUCGGUGCCCCCUUUCCCUUGUGGUAAUGGGUCGGCAUGUUGGGCUUGGCGUCGUAGAGGACGUGCUACC
Molecule: unclassified non-coding RNA, 458 nt
Filed under: Musa acuminata subsp. microcarpa
Lineage: Eukaryota; Viridiplantae; Streptophyta; Magnoliopsida; Zingiberales; Musaceae
Description: partial external transcribed spacer
Source: RNAcentral